GACGAACGCUGGCGGCGUGCCUAAUACAUGCAAGUUGAGCGAUGAAGAUUGGUGCUUGCACCAAUUUGAAGAGCAGCGAACGGGUGAGUAACGCGUGGGGAAUCUGCCUUUGAGCGGGGGACAACAUUUGGAAACGAAUGCUAAUACCGCAUAACAACUUUAAACAUAAGUUUUAAGUUUGAAAGAUGCAAUUGCAUCACUCAAAGAUGAUCCCGCGUUGUAUUAGCUAGUUGGUGAGGUAAAGGCUCACCAAGGCGAUGAUACAUAGCCGACCUGAGAGGGUGGUCGGCCACAUUGGGACUGGGGCACGGCCCAAACUCCUACGGGAGGCAGCAGUAGGGGAUCUUCGGCAAUUGACGAAAGUCUGACCGAGCAACGCCGCGUGAGUGGAGAAGGUUUUCGGAGCGUAAAACUCUGUUGGUAGAGAAGAACGUUGGUGAGAGUGGAAAGCUCAUCAAGUGACGGUAACUACCCAGAAAGGGACGGCUAACUACGUG
Molecule: ribosomal RNA, 497 nt
Filed under: uncultured bacterium
Lineage: Bacteria
Description: partial 16S ribosomal RNA
Rfam family: Bacterial small subunit ribosomal RNA
Source: RNAcentral